AUGGGGUUAAAAGAACAAUUGAAAACGCAUUAACAUUCAGAAUUUCAGGCUAAUAUAAUGGUUUGAGUAGUCUCUGCACCAUUUAGAUUCUAGGUCUAUGGAUCUAGAUCUUUGACUACUUUCUCAACAGCUGAAACUUCGAGUCCAUGGAGGUCGUCUGGAAAACCUGAUAAAUAAACAAAUCAUUGGUUUACUGUUUAAGCAAUACAAACUAAAUCUUA
RNAcentral lists this long non-coding RNA (221 nucleotides) under Elaeis guineensis (African oil palm). Its description in RNAcentral is "long non-coding RNA (EGUI_LNC007404)". The record is from RNAcentral. Lineage: Eukaryota; Viridiplantae; Streptophyta; Magnoliopsida; Arecales; Arecaceae.